Molecule: microRNA precursor, 120 nt
Filed under: Glycine max (soybean)
Lineage: Eukaryota; Viridiplantae; Streptophyta; Magnoliopsida; Fabales; Fabaceae
Description: MIR1520 microRNA precursor family
Rfam family: MIR1520 microRNA precursor family
Source: Rfam by way of RNAcentral
UUCUUAUUGGAUUAUGACUCUCACGUGUCAUGUUCUGAUUGGUCAAUGAAAAUAACAAUGCAUUUCAUCUUUCAUGGAGUUGACAUUCAAUCAAAACAUGACAUGUGACAAUCAUCAUCC